GACCCCAUCGUCUAGAGGCCUAGGACUUCGGCCUUUCACGCCGCCAACACGGGUUCGAAUCCCGUUGGGGUCG
RNAcentral lists this transfer RNA (73 nucleotides) under Nannocystis sp. Its description in RNAcentral is "tRNA-Glu". It matches the Rfam family "tRNA". From Rfam's summary of the family: Transfer RNA (tRNA) molecules are approximately 80 nucleotides in length. Their secondary structure includes four short double-helical elements and three loops (D, anti-codon, and T loops). Lineage: Bacteria; Pseudomonadati; Myxococcota; Nannocystales; Nannocystaceae. The record is from RNAcentral.